AUAUAGUUCACGGCUAGUUAAUAAGUUAAGCCAGCGCCGUAGGAGGGCGCUGAAAAGCGGAAGACACGCGCGGCGUGCAAAAAGAGAGCAGUGUGAGCUAUGGCGGCGGUAUGAGCGAGAUUCACGAGGCACACAGCACAAAUGUAAAAAGUGCAAAAGAAGAUUGAAAUCCUACACUAUUGAAUAAAAAUUCUUUAAUUUUUAGAUUUUUUUUACAUAUGUUGACGACAUCAUUACUAUUGUACCGGAAAAUGAAAUGGAUAAUGUUCUCAAGAUCUUUAAUAACUACCACCCCCGACUGAAAUUUACACACGAGAUGGCAUUGGACGGAUCUAUUGCCUUUUUGGAUAACUCUCGUUAUGCGUGACAAAAACAAAUUGAUAACAAACUGGAAUCAGAAAUCUUCAUUUUCUGCAGAAGUUCAAUUAUACAGGUGCAAUACGGGUGAAUACAUCAUGCCAAAAAGACAAUCAUCAUUUAAGUGACAAUGAUAAAGUUGUCACAUUCUAAUGAGCGUACACUCCAAGGAUACUGGUUAAAAUCAAUUCGAUAGCAGUUAACGAAUUGUUAGCAGUGGAAGGGUGAAUAGGAAGGAUUUGCGGUCAACGCGUGGGGCUUGAUAGGGGAACGUAUAAUACAUUGUUACCCCAUCCAUCAGCGUUGCACUCCUUCCAUGAGCAGUAAUUUUCCUUACAAAACCGACAUUGGGAUGUGAACUAUCUCAUAAUUAAAAUUACUCUACUAAUGAGUACUCUUAGUUUAACUUAAAUCCAUUGAAUGCUGUGUUAUUUAUUUAUUGGUUUAUUUACUAUGCAUUGUGUAAUACGUUUUAAUAUAAUCAAAUAAAAUGAUUUUCAAAUAA
This is a long non-coding RNA of Monomorium pharaonis (pharaoh ant), 862 nucleotides long. RefSeq lists it as uncharacterized. The record is from RefSeq and is a predicted model, not a curated record. Lineage: Eukaryota; Metazoa; Arthropoda; Insecta; Hymenoptera; Formicidae. The transcript has 3 exons.